Molecule: ribosomal RNA, 898 nt
Filed under: Cordyceps blackwelliae
Lineage: Eukaryota; Fungi; Ascomycota; Sordariomycetes; Hypocreales; Cordycipitaceae
Description: partial large subunit ribosomal RNA
Rfam family: Eukaryotic large subunit ribosomal RNA
Source: RNAcentral
ACGGAGUAGAUCAACAGGGAUUGCCCCAGUAACGGCGAGUGAAGCGGCAACAGCUCAAAUUUGAAAUCUGGCCCUCGGGUCCGAGUUGUAAUUUGCAGAGGAUGCUUCGGGCGAGGUGCCUUCCGAGUUCCCUGGAACGGGACGCCAUAGAGGGUGAGAGCCCCGUCUGGUUGGACACCGAGCCCGUGUGAAGCUCCUUCGAAGAGUCGAGUAGUUUGGGAAUGCUGCUCAAAAUGGGAGGUAUAUGUCUUCUAAAGCUAAAUAUUGGCCAGAGACCGAUAGCGCACAAGUAGAGUGAUCGAAAGAUGAAAAGCACUUUGAAAAGAGGGUUAAAAAGUACGUGAAAUUGUUGAAAGGGAAGCGCCCAUGACCAGACUUGGGCCCGGUGAAUCACCCGGCGUUCUCGCCGGUGCACUUUGCCGGGCACAGGCCAGCAUCAGUUUGGCGCGGGGGACAAAGGCUUCGGGAAUGUGGCUCCCUCGGGAGUGUUAUAGCCCGCUGCGCAAUACCCUGCGCCGGACUGAGGUACGCGCAUCGCAAGGAUGCUGGCGUAAUGGUCAUCAGCGACCCGUCUUGAAACACGGACCAAGGAGUCGUCUUCGUAUGCGAGUGUUCGGGUGUCAAACCCCUACGCGGAAUGAAAGUGAACGCAGGUGAGAGCUUCGGCGCAUCAUCGACCGAUCCUGAUGUUCUCGGAUGGAUUUGAGUAAGAGCAUACGGGGCCGGACCCGAAAGAAGGUGAACUAUGCCUGUGUAGGGUGAAGCCAGAGGAAACUCUGGUGGAAGCUCGCAGCGGUUCUGACGUGCGAAUCGAUCGUCAAACAUGGGCAUGGGGGCGAAAGACUAAUCGAACCUUCUAGUAGCUGGUUUCCGCGAGUUUCUCCCUCCCGGAGAAGAA